UGGGGAAUAUUGGACAAUGGGCGCAAGCCUGAUCCAGCCAUGCCGCGUGAGUGAAGAAGGCCUUCGGGUUGUAAAGCUCUUUUGUCCGGAAAGAAAUCCUGUCGGUUAAUACCCGGCGGGGAUGACGGUACCGGAAGAAUAAGCACCGGCUAACUUCGUGCCAGCAGCCGCGGUAAUACGAAGGGUGCAAGCGUUACUCGGAAUUACUGGGCGUAAAGCGUGCGUAGGUGGUUCGUUAAGUCUGAUGUGAAAGCCCUGGGCUCAACCUGGGAACUGCAUUGGAUACUGGCGAUCUGGAGUGCGGUAGAGGGGUGCGGAAUUCCCGGUGUAGCAGUGAAAUGCGUAGAUAUCGGGAGGAACAUCCGUGGCGAAGGCGGCACCCUGGACCAGCACUGACACU
This 400-nucleotide ribosomal RNA is filed under the name uncultured bacterium. Its description in RNAcentral is "bacterial SSU rRNA". It matches the Rfam family "Bacterial small subunit ribosomal RNA", at positions 355 to 747 of the family's 1533-position model. The record is from RNAcentral.